RNAcentral lists this long non-coding RNA (8509 nucleotides) under Cucumis sativus (cucumber). Its description in RNAcentral is "long non-coding RNA (CSAT_LNC001306)". The record is from RNAcentral. Lineage: Eukaryota; Viridiplantae; Streptophyta; Magnoliopsida; Cucurbitales; Cucurbitaceae.
UUUGGGCAAGGAUACUAUGAUUUAUAGACAAAUCCAUCAUCUUCAUAAUGAAUAUUUGUACUAUGAAGUGCUUGCAGUGAUACCCAAACAACUAGAUGAGCCACAACAACAAGAGAAUCAGAAGUGACUAGAACAACAAAGAGUUCAAAGUGGGCAACAACAACCAAUUAGUAAUCGACGACGUCCAGGUUUUUGAACAUAUUGAUUAUUUUUUUCAUUAAAUGAAAAUUGUUUAAUUAUUGUAUUAGACAUUUUACUUUUUAUUUAAUUAUUUUCUAAUCUCAAUCCAUUACUAAAAAUUUUUGUCCUUCAAUCAUUACAAAACAAAUGGAUUAGGAUGGUAAACCUUCGUAAAUUUAAAUAUUAAUGUAAACAUAAAUUGAAAAUUUUUUAAAAUCGAAAGAAAUUUCAUCAAUUUAAAAAUACAAUGAACUUACAUUUUUAAAAAAUAAGUUUCUGAAAUUGAACCAAUUUUUUCAUAAAAUAUAGGUUUUUCGUGAGAGAGAAAAAUAAAUUAAUACUAAAUUUAAAAAAAUUAAUUUUAAGAAAAAAAUUUAAAUAGAAUAAAGAAAUAAAAAAUUAUGUGAAAAAUGGAAAACAAAAGUAAAGAAGUGGGCGAGUCUUUCCUAAAGAGAGAGAAGGAGAUAAAAGGGAAAUAAGCGAGUCUUCAAGACUCCCUGAGAGAGAGAAAAAAGAAAAACCUAAGGAAAGAGAGAAGGGAAAACAACAUUAUACAACAUUAUGUUUAUAAGGGGCACUUGAAAAUGACAAAACAAGUUAUAAUAAUCAAGUUUAUAGCACACAAAACCAAAACAUAACAAACGUAUAAAAAUAAAAUCAAAUUCAACUCCAAAAUACACAUCGAAGAAAAUGGAGAACAAUCACAAACGAAGUUAAAUUACUUCGAUAAAAAACCAUUAUAUUUCAUAUUCCAAUUAAUGUAGCAUUUAUAUUCUAAAAUCAAGAUUAAUACAAUUAAUUCAACUCCAAAAUUCACAUCAAAGAAAGUAGAGAACAAUAACAUAUGAAGUUAAAUUUCUCAUGGCAACGACCACUAUCAGAUUGCAACUAAUGCUACAUGAAAUUGAAUAAAAGGUUUUCAAACGUAAAUAAAAUAAAUUCUCCUUUUGUUUUUAAUUUUAAGAAAAAUGAAAAACCACAUGAAUAACAAAAAUAAUAAAGUCAUAAAAAGAAAAAUAGUAGGAUCGACUGAUUUACCACUUUUGUCUAUUUCAAUCCAAUUUUAGACAAUCAUUCGGAUUAGAAACUAAGCGUCCAUUUGGUAACGAUUUUGUUUCUUGUUUCUUGUUUCUGUUUUCCUUUUUUAAGAAAUAGAGGUGUUUGGUAACGUUUCAUGUUUCUCGUUCUAAAAAGAAGUAGAAAUGUUUCUCAUUUUAUAAGAAAUUUUUAGAAAAAAAAAAGUAGUUUUUCUCGUUAUCGUUUCUCAAUUAUUUCUAUUGGUUUCUUUUUUAUUUUUCUCAAUUGUUUCUAUUGGUUUUCUUUUCUUUUUUCUCGAUUCUUUUUAUUGGUUUCUUUUUCCUUCUUUUCAAUUCUUUUUCUAUUUCAUUUUCCUUUUCCAUUUUCCUCUUGUGAUUUUCUUUUGUUUCCUCUUAUUUUCAUCUUCUUUCCCAAAUAACCAUUCUCCAUGUGGUUUCCUUUUUCUUCAUUUAUCUCCAUCGUCUUUCUCAAAUAACCAUCCUCUUUCUUUCAUCGUCUUCGCCUCUCAUCGUCUUCCUCUACACGACACAUUUCUCUUCGCUGGAUAUGAGUUUUCAUCUUCCUCUUUGUGUGAAUUGUAUUUUCACUAUGGGUUUUUUGUCGAAUUUAUGGAUUUUUGCCAGAUCUGUGUUUUAGCCGUGAGUUUUUGUCUUCCUUUUUGUCGUGGGUUUCGGUCAUCUUCUUCAUUGUGGGUUUUUGUCUUCCUCUCGUCUGCUUGUUCUUCAUAUUUCAAUCUUCAUCUCCUUCUCUAUAAGAUUACAAGAAGACAUUCCAAUCUAGGCUUUAUAUUUUUAUUUUUUUAUGUUUAAUGAAGGUCAUAUAUUUUGUUUGAUGUUUAAUUGAAUUAAAUAUGAAUACAACAACGAUACCACUGUUCUUCCUCGCCAAGGAACCUGGACGCAAGGAUGCAUGUGUAAUGUAUAAUCUUUCCAUCUUGUCUACAACUGCAUCUUUAAUUUUUAGUACAUAUCAUACUUGUAUUUAGUUGUAAUUAUCUUGUCACACCCCGCCUCGACACCUGCUUUCUUGGCCCAAGACUUGGUGUGAUGUCAAUAGAAGUUGUUUGCCUCUUGAACAACUUUUGUUAUAGGUAUAAAAAUUAUGAAAAUAUUGUAUCAACUUCAUAGGCUUUUGUUUUUUUGUUAUACGAGUAGUAAUAUUUUUGUGUUUUGUUAUAUGUAUGAAAAUUAACUUUUUUUUUUUUUUUUUUGUUUCAAUAACAAUCAUUUCAUCCAAGUUUUAAUAUUUUUAUUUACUAAAAUUUUAAAAAUAUGCAUAAUCAACAACAUAAAAAAUUGCAAAUAUUUUGGUCAUGAGGCCACAAUUCACAUACUAAGUACACAAAGCUACUAAAUCACGUACAACUUAUCAAGAGGAUUAAAAUAGGUUUAAUUUUAGAGUUAAAGCUUUAUAUCGGUGCAUGACAGUUUGGCUUGACAUUCUUAUAUUUAAAUUAAAUGUCAUCAAACUAUGUAUUAUUCAAACAUCUUAUUUUCAGACAUCUUUAUGCCCAUUCAUGAAUGAAGUCAAAAUUCUUCUUGAGACCAUUAAACAAGUAAAAACCUUCAUCUCUAGCUACCCAGUAACAGUUUGAAUUGGUGCAAUGAUCUUCAAGCCAUGUAUGAAUCCUCUCUGGCCAAUAAACUUCAAACGUAGCAUGUUUUUGGUUGUUGCCAAAGUUGCACCAAAACAACGUAGUUCCAGCAAAAUUCUCACUAAAGUGAAAUAAGAAGCUCUUUCCUUUGGUGACUAUUCGUUCACCUGAAAUUACUGGUGGAUCUCAAACUUUACAUCACACAUUUUUACUCAAACUCAAUUAAAAAAAAAAAUUGUAUUUUUAUUAAAAGGGGGUUUAUAGGUUUAAUUUUUAAAAACUAAAAGCAAAUGACUACUAGACAAGACAUAAAUGAAUGGUUAUCCAAUCCAACCUCUCCUAAACUUUUUAAAACUCAAAUUGGAUUGAAUUUUGAAAACAUUUCUAAAAUGUAGACAACAAAACAUACAAAUCAAUAAAUUUAUGAACACAGUGGCGAUAUAAUUAAUUUUUUUAGAAAGAAACUAGAAGCCAAAAUGAGAUUCAAUUUAAGAAAAACAUGAAACUUCUAAAGUAAAAUAGUAACGAUAUAAUGCGUAAAAUUGCUAACCCAAAUCAUCAUCUUUAGAUUUGCAAUGAACGAUGAGAUUAUCGUCUGUUUGUUGGUUAAAAAUCGUCACUGUCAUGGACGUCAAUGGUCUUACAUAUUUGGAUGACUCUGCGAAACAAAUGCCAAUGUCAAUACUCAAUGCAUAAAUUACAAACACCAAUACGAAAGCAUUAUUCAUUCUUGGAUUGGAUUUAUUAGAUUUUUGUGUAUGCUUUUCCUUCCAUUCUUUGAGAUACAUGAACCAUUUAAAUAUAAUCAUUAUGAAGUUUGUAUAGGUAAUAGUUUUAUGACUUUUGUAAUCACGUAGAUCUAAGCAAAUAUACCAUUUAUUAAUGCAUUUUGACAAACAUGGGUAAUAGUUUUAUGAAUAUUAAUAACUUAGAUUUUCUUAGGAUAAAUAAGGAAAUUUUGUUGUAUUAAUACAUCUUCUCUUUUGAUCAUAAAGCAUUAUAUUUGUUGAUUACACAAAUAUAUAAUAUACAGUGUAAUAAAAUAGUUGAUGUUAUAACCGUUUGACUACAAAAUUAAACUAAUUCUUUCGAUAUUUUUAACAGUCAAAAAUUACUAUUUUUUACUGUUUUAAAUUUUCCAUUGAAGUCAGGUUCAAGAAAGUUGAAGUUCAUGACAAUUAAUAAACGUAAAGUAGGUUGAUGUCAACGACAUAUAAAAAAGCGUCAAGAAUGUAAUUGUUUAUGACAUUUAAAAAAACACUAGUACAAAACUUGGCAAUUUUAAAAAUUCAAAUUUAGUUUCAGGAAUUCAUUGUGUGUUUCAUUUGUAGCCUCAUUGCAUGGGUUUGCAUGACACGCCCCGCCCUGAAGACUUGCUUGCUUGUCUCGUGAGACGGGGUGUGACUUGAGCAUCCUUGACGCGGUCAAAUGGCAAAGACACUCAUCUUAACUUUCUUAACUUAGCUUAAUCGUCAAAACGCUUAACUUCACAAAUAUCCUUUAGACGAUAAAGAACUUAAUGCGGAAAGAUAAAACAACUUUAAACUUUUAUUCCUUAACAAGGCGUUUAGUACAAAACAUAAUGAUACAACACUUAAACAAAAGAUAAAAACCAACCCUUAAACUUAAACGCCUGACAGCUUGCCUUAAACCUUAAACCGCUUGCCUUAAACCUUAAACCGCUUGCCUUAAACCUGCCACAUAGUUGUCCAAAACGUAUAGCUAGCUUCCAAGACCAUCUCGCCUAGUUUCACUCCCAAACUACAUAACCCGACUUAGAAAAGUUAUAACUUAAAAUUCAUAACUCUUUUGAUCAAACUUCCUUCUACAAAGUAACUCUAAAAUGAGUUAACUUUCUUUUUUCCAACUUUCAGAGCAAUGAUAUCGUCCACAUAAAAUACUAAGAAAGUUAUUUUACCUAUGUUGGUCCAAACCAUAAGAUUUGAUCGAAGUAUCAAGUCUAAUGCUCCAAGAUAUGAACCCCUCAGAAUGAGAAAUAAGAUACUCUCUUCAAGAUUGCCAUUCAGAAAAGCAGUCUUGACAUCCAUUUGUCAUAUUUCAUAAUCAUAAAAUGUGGUUUGACAAGAAAAUCCUUAUAGACUUUAACAUAGCAAUAGGGGAAGAAGUUUCCUCAUAAUCAACCCCUUCCCUUUAGGCAUACCCUUUUGCUACAAGUCUAGCUUUGAAGAUUUGUACCCUUCCAGUUGAAUCUCUUUUUCUCUUAUAGAUUCAUUUGCACCCUAUAGGUUUCACCCCUUCAGGUAGAUCUACAAGCUCCCACACUGAAUUGAAGUACAUAGACUCCAUUUCAAGGUUCAUGGCUUUAACCAAUAAAUCCUCGCCUACAUCAUCUAUUACUUGUGUUAUAGGACAAUGGAUCCUCAACGUUAUCAUCUGGUAUGACAUCAUUCAAGCAUGGUUAAGUUAAAUCUUAAGAUUACACAUAUACCACUGAGAAGCAGAAAGUAGCGACUUAUCAAAAGCUUAAGAGUGACUAAGCUUGUUUAAGGAUUAAUAUAAAUAAGGGUUUUCAAUCAAAUUAUUAGUUCAUGGUUAUUUUGAGAAUUUGAAGAGAAAAGUUUUAACGUUGAAGUACUGCCAAAGAGCUUACGUGAGAAGAAAAAGAAGAAGCGAAGUCUUAAAAGUUUAAGUAUAAGUAGUGUGAGUGUUUUCUUUAAAAUAUUUUUUUAAAGAUUUUUUGGUGAUAAUUUAUAUUUGACACAAUCAUUUAGAUUUGAAGAUUUUUUUUUAAUAUUUUUUGUAUUUGUUUAGAUUUGGGUAGCCAUUUAAAUUUGUGUAGUCAAAUCUCAAUGGUACACACUCGUUUAGUUUUAGUAUAGGAUCAUUUAGAUUUUGCUAUCCAAUAUCCAAACAAUUUCUUUUCACAAUCUUAAACAACCAAAUAGAAAAAAAAAAAUAGAUCUUGAUUUUGAACCAAAUAAUAGUUUGAAGAAAAGAUUAAUUACAGAAGAAGAAAAAAUAUAUAAAAAAUUACAGAACGAAAGAAAAAAAUGAUGGAAAGCAAUGAAAAAAUUACAGAAAAAGGAUGAAAUAGAAAACAGAAAUAUUAGAAAAAAUUAGAAAAGGGAAAAAGACAAUAAAAAAGAAAAAAAAUCGCAAGAAGAGAAAGAAAGAUGAUGAUAAAAAGGACCAUCCUAAAAUAUUUAAAGAAAGAAAAACAAUGAUAAGGAAGAACAAUUUCAUAGACUUGUUCAUUAUUCAUUUUGUUACCGAAUCGUAGAUAUUUUGUCGAUGUGUGGUAUUUAUGAAAAUUAACUAACAUUUUGAUUACGUGAUUUUUAUUUUAAAAAAAUAUUAUGCAUUGAUCAAUAAUGGAGUGAAUACAACCAAAAAUAUUUGAGUAACUUUUAUCUUUUAGAAGUUAACUAGUUAUACUUUCGAAAUAUUCAAUCAAAAUUAAAAUUUUAUUUUAAAUAUUUUUAAGUCACAGGAAACUAAAUCACAUGAAUUGAUUGACAUAUUGAUGCAUCCAUUUUUGCAAAGUACUUUUACGAAACUAUUUAAAAAAAUGCUACCAUUAAAGAUUUAUUAUUGUAAUAACAAAGUUUUUACACAUCAUUAAUUUUACUAACCAAUACCUCGAUUAUAAUAAGAAAAAAAAUAUAUUAUUAAAGAAGUGGGAACAUGGAAAAACUGAUCGAAAUAAUGGAUAAAUGAAAAAAUAAUCUUAGGAAAGAAUACCGUUUAAGAGUUCAAUUGAUACACGUCUUUAUAUGCUCCAACCUUAAAAGAAUGCAUGGCAAGAAAACGUGGAGGCAGAAUAUAAAUGUAAACUUGUAAAGCAAGUAAAAUUGGAAUAAAGGAAAUUAUAUGAGAAAGCAACCAGCGCCCAGAGACACCUCCCUCCCUUCCUGCCUGCCUCCCUCUAUAAUAACUCGUCAAAAGAGAGAAAAAAAAAAAACUUUGAAAAGGACUUCUUAUGGAUAACCUCCAUAUCUGAUGCUAAUAAAGGCUGUCACGAGCAUUUAAGUUGUGCAAAGGUGGGCAAAAAUUCAAAAGCUAUCAACAUAUUUAUGCUAGAAAAAACAUGAUAAGGAUAGUAAGACUAUGCAGUCUUCCUAUCUGGGGACUAAUAACCCUGGAGAAAUCACUAAUACCAAACUUUUUCAUUACUUCCAAUUUAUUUUUCAGACUACUUCAUUGUUCCAAAUAGUGUGAAACUAAUGAAACAGAAGAAAUAUGUAUAUGGUUAUAGUAUUAAAUAUUUUCCCUGAUCGUUACUUAUAGCUUGGUUUAGAGACUGUUUCCUAAAUAAAAAAAAAAUGUGAAGAAGAUUUGUCCAACAGAAGAAAAGAAUCUCACCAAAUCAUCUUACCCGCACAAAUAUGAGGGGGAGAAAUUCUAAAUCAUACAUAUAGAAUUAACUAAUUCCACAUUCCCCGGUAGGAUCAAUCUAAUAAGUGAUAAGACCCUACCCUAACCCCUUGGAGUUCACCUUUACUAGUUUUAAAGUUCAGGGUUCUGGCCCUAAGGGAGAAUGAGCAACAAAGUACCAACCUAACCAAAUACCAAUCAAAGAGAAUUUCUCCUAAUUCAUUUCAGUACAAAAUGAGGACUCGAAGGUGUAAAAGAAUUAAAUCAAGAUUAGCAGAAGAGUCCUCCCCCUCCAAGAUCGAAGGAGGCAGUCAUCAACACACAUUUUCUAACUGCCAUUUCAUCGAAGAAAAACAAUGGGAAAAGAAAUACACGGACAUUCAGAAAAGAAAACCUCACAAAAAGAGCCAAAUAAAAAGGGCCUCCAAUCAAGUAAAAUGUGACUCAAUGAGUAAUUACGAAUAGAAGAAGACAAAGACCCAAAGAAAAACAUAGAAUCUAACAAGGUCUCCAACAUACCUAGUGGAGAUGAAUCACUGGUAAGGAAGGAAGGUUUCCAUCCCAUAUGCAUCUUGCAGAACUUGAUAGAACAGUACUAACUAUCUAUAACGCCAGGUCACUUCCAAAAAUAUGACUAGCAGGAUCUACUAAUUUAUUGUGUGUAAAUUAUAUAAUAAAUAAGCUAAUAGUUACUUUCCACCUAAAAGUAUGAAAGUAGAAUCUCCAAAUUUGAUGUAGAGAGUGGAAAUAUACAUACAUUUUUACAAAAUUGCUUCAGGAUGAAAAACAAAAGCAUCCCUAUCAUAUCAGUAAAUCCAGAGUCCACACGGCAGACGUCCUUCUUCAUGAAUAUUUCUCUAAUCUCAAAUGAUUAUUACAUCCAACUACAUAAUAUAAAAUAGAUUCAUGAUGAAAGACGCCAAGGCAUUAAACUGUACCACUUCAUAAGAUCAAAAGACUUCACCAAAACUCUCAUUCUUACAAUUCCUCAAUAGUCCUAUCCUUAAAUUCACACCAUCUCCAUUCACCAAAUCCACCAUGUUAUAAAUGAGAUUAGUAUUUGGAUUGGGUUCACAUUCCUAAACAAUGUUUUCUAAAGACUACCUCCAACCCAUGCCCCUAUGAAGCAAGGAUGACAAGUCCCGUGUAAACAUUGACCAUUCAAUAUCAGAGUUUCAUCAUCCAUAUAAUUCAGAAAAUCAUAAAUCCUCUAUACCAACAAGAAACAGAUUCCAAAAAUUUCCCAAAUCCAAAUGAAAAUAUAUACAAUCAACACACUGUAUGUUCAGUGUUCAACUACAGAUAACAUAUUACAUCAAGUUAUUAAAAUGGAGAAUAGAAACAAGUCCGCCAUAGCCAAAC